Molecule: long non-coding RNA, 2177 nt
Filed under: Ananas comosus (pineapple)
Lineage: Eukaryota; Viridiplantae; Streptophyta; Magnoliopsida; Poales; Bromeliaceae
Description: long non-coding RNA (ACOM_LNC042591)
Source: RNAcentral
AAUAGAGCAUUGGUUUCAGAUUGGGUACUUUUGGACUUCUUGACCGGUUGACGCAUAUGUCUAUAGUAGCAGUCGUUGCAUGCAUAGUUACAGUUCUUACUUUAUAGUUGUUUUGCUACUAUAGUAGAUAUUCAUGUAUGCUUUCGGUUCCAGUUACAGUAGCGAUAGCCGUUAUUCAGUCUAGUUCUUACUUUCUGUCAGUUUAUUGCUACUGUAUUUAGUAUAUCUGCUCAUUAUCUUACAUCUCUUUCGUUUACUAUUGUUCCUACUGUAUUUCCACUGACCCGUGUUGUUGUAUAGCUCUUCCUGAUCCGGUGAGUACUCCUCGCCUUCUUCGGCUUGCGGUACCCACUGGGAGGGGAGACAUGUUUACAUGUUCUCACCUCCCCCAUCAUUUUUCAGGUAUCGCAGGCGAUGUGUAUUGGGACGAGAUGCGAGAUACGUAUGUAGCAGUUGAUAGAUCUUCUGACCCAGGUUGUUCGGUUUAACUCUUACCCUUUUUAUUUCUGUUGAUAUAUAGCUUAGAGUGUUUAUAUGGUUCAGUAUUUUUAUUACAUUUGAAAAUAUGGGUUUUCAUGAAUGUAAUAAACUGGUUUGUGAAUUUUAUAAAAUAAAAGGUUUUCUACCCCUCGUGGUAGCAUUUAAAAAAGAUAAAAGUUCCUGUGUAGGGAACAGUUUUCAAAAGAUUUUCUGUGGAUUUUGCAUCUUAGUAUUUCAAAACCUGUUUCUGUUGUUAGAAACAUUUUAACUGAUAGAUGUAGAUUGAUGUUUAAAUAUCGAAUGUAUAAAUAUGAAUCUGUGGUGAAUGGUGUAUGAAUAUAUAUAACGGUUGGUUAUUUGUAUGUUCAUUUGUUGUGGUUGUGCCUGGAUAACUUCUUGUACUUGUGCGACGCUGUGCAAAUACAGGGGAGACUCUGUCCGUGUGAACAGUAGAUUCCCUGUAUUUUUGGCGGAUCUGGCAUACUCUGGGGUCAGGUUUUCAAAAAAAAAAAUUCAGACGCUUUUCCGCUUUGUUUUAAACUGAAAAGGGACCCCGGGGCGUGACAAUAGUAGCAGUACUAUUGCUAUAGUACUUGCUUGUCUAAAUUUAAUUUUAAUUAUGAUAUUGAAGCAUUAAUUAAUCUAAUUAAUAUAUUUAAAUAAUUAUUUUUUUCUCAAAUAAUAAAACAAUUAAUUAAUUUAUUAUUUAUAAUUAUAAAAUAAAUUAUUAUUAUUUUUACUUAUUAAUAAUUUAUUUAUUUAUUUAAUUAUAAUUAAUUAAUUAUUAGUUAAUUUUUUAAUUUAUAAUUAAUUAAUUUAUCAUUAAUUUAUUCUUAAUUAAUUAAUUAAUUAUAAUUAAUUAAUUUAUUUAUUAUUAUUAUUUAUAAUUAUUUAAUUAUUAUUUAAUUAAUUAACUUAAUAUUGAUUAAUUAAUUUUUAAUUUAUAUUUAUUAAUAAUUUAUUAUUUAUAACUAUUAAGAAUUUAUUAUUAUUAAUUAAUUAAUUUAUAAUUAUUUAAUAAUUUAUUAUUUUUUAUUAUUAAAUAAUUAAUUAAUUAAUAAUUUUAUUAUUAAGUAAUUAAUUUAUAAUUUAUAAUUAGUAAUAAUUUAUUAUUUAUAAUUAGUUUUAGUUUAUUAUUUAUACUAUAUUAUCUAAUUAAUUUAUUACUAAUAGUUUAUUACUAAUAAUUUAUUAUUAAUUAAAAUUUUAUCAUUUAUUAUUAAUUAAUUAAUUAAUUAAUUAAUUAAUAAUAAGUUAAUUAAUUAUUAACUAAAUAAUUUUUAAUUUUUAAUUUUUUAUAAUUUAUUAUCUAAUUAAUUUUUUAUUUAUUAAUUAAUUUAUAAUUUAGAAUUAUUAAUAAUUUGCUAUUUAUAAAUAUUUAUAAUUUAUUGUUAUUUAAUUACUUUAUUAUCUAUAAUUAUUAAUAUUAAUUUAUUAUUUUUAAGUAAUAUUUUGAUGUUAAUUAAUUAGAUAAAGUAAUUUUAAUUUAAAAUUAUAACUCUUAUUCCUUUGUUUCCAUCUAACCAUCCAAAUACUUUUUAUCUUAUUCUUAGGAACAACCCAAUUUUUAUCCAAACGCAAAAUUAGUCUAGCUUCUGCUUAUAUCUGAACUUGUACUUAUCUAUGAAAUAAUCAGUUCUUAUUUAUACCCGAACCAAAACACAAUCUUAUAGUAUAAUAAAAAUAAAAGUGAAAUA